Octopus sinensis (East Asian common octopus) is the source of this 194-nucleotide small nuclear RNA. RefSeq annotates it as U2 spliceosomal RNA. The transcript has a single exon. NCBI's taxonomy places the organism in Eukaryota, Metazoa, Mollusca, Cephalopoda, Octopoda, Octopodidae. The record is from RefSeq and is a predicted model, not a curated record.
AAUGCUUCUCGGCCUUUUGGCUAAGAUUAAAGUGUAGUAUCUGUUCUUAUCAGCUUAAUAGCUGAUACGGUUCCUAUUUUGGGCCAUCGAUAUUAAACUGAUUUUUAGAACGAGGCGAAAUGUAAGGGGUUUGCUCCGCCUUAGUCAUGUACUUUUUCAGGCACAGAAGUAGCUGUGUGGUAAGUAGCUUGCUU